ACGUAGGGGGCGAGCGUUGUCCGGAGUUACUGGGCGUAAAGGGCCCGCAGGCGGUCGUCUGCGUUCCCACUGACAAUGCUCGGCUUAACCGAGCAGGGUGUGGGAAAACGGGACGACUUGAGGCAGAGAGAGGGACAGGGAAUUCCGGGUGGAGUGGUGAAAUGCGUAGAUAUCCGGAGGAACACCAAAGGCGAAGGCACUGUCCUGGCUCUGAUCUGACGCUCGGGGGCGAAAGCUAGGGGAGCGAACGGGAUUAGAUACCCCGGUAGUCCUAGCUGUAAACGAUGACCACUAGACGUUCGGGGUAUCGACCCCCUGAGUGUCGUAGUUAACACGCUAAGUGGUCCGCCUGGGGAGUACGGUCGCAAGAUUA
RNAcentral lists this ribosomal RNA (373 nucleotides) under uncultured bacterium. Its description in RNAcentral is "bacterial SSU rRNA". It matches the Rfam family "Bacterial small subunit ribosomal RNA", at positions 525 to 896 of the family's 1533-position model. The record is from RNAcentral.